AUGCUGGAAGACAUAGAGAAGUUGAAGGCAUUCAAGAAGCCUAUUUCAUGGGCUAGACAUGUCGCAAAUUUCAUCUAUAGGCAUGGAAGAAUUCUUCGUCUAUUGAGGAAGGUGAUGAAUGGGCUAGAUCUUGUGAGACCCGCAACCACUCGUUUUGCCACGACCUUCCUUACACUAAAGAGUUUGGUCAGGCACAAGGCAACUUUGAGGAGUAUGUUUACGUGCGCAGCAUGGGUUGGAAGCAAAGUGGCCAAACCACAAGCUGGCUUAAAUGUGCAAGACAUUGUGCUCUCAGUUGAGUGGUGGCAUUCAAUUGAGGACCGCCUUAGAGCUUGAACGCCGCUUCUCCGAGUGCUUAGGGUAGCGGAUGAUCAUGGGAAGCCUGCAAUGCCUGAGAUUACAGAACUUAUGAUUUAUGCAAAGAAGAAGAUCAAUCAAAGCUUCCCCCAACAAAAUAAGCAACCUUUGCUCAAGAAGAUCUUGGAAAUUAUUGAGAAUCAUCGAGAGACUCAAAUGGAUCAUCCAUCAUAUGGGGCUACUCUUUUUUUGAACCCAGGAAAGUUUUUCCCUAUUGUAAAGAGGAAUGACGAUGCCUUAGUUGGGGAUAAGGAGCUGCUUUACCGAUGUGUAUGCAAAAACAGCGUUCGAUGCAAAUAUUCGAAGCAAGAUUGA
RNAcentral lists this ribosomal RNA (672 nucleotides) under Triticum aestivum (bread wheat). Its description in RNAcentral is "partial small subunit ribosomal RNA". The record is from RNAcentral. Lineage: Eukaryota; Viridiplantae; Streptophyta; Magnoliopsida; Poales; Poaceae.